Molecule: ribosomal RNA, 393 nt
Filed under: uncultured bacterium
Lineage: Bacteria
Description: bacterial SSU rRNA
Rfam family: Bacterial small subunit ribosomal RNA
Source: RNAcentral
ACUCCCUACGGGAGGCAGCAGUGGGGAAUAUUGCACAAUGGGGGAAACCCUGAUGCAGCCAUGCCGCGUGUGUGAAGAAGGCCUUCGGUUGUAAAGCACUUCUAGUAGGGAGGAAGGUAGUGUAGUUAACACCUGCACCUAUUUGUACGUUACCUACAGAAGAAGCACCGGCUAACUCCGUGCCAGCAGCCGCGGUAAUACGGAGGGUGCGAGCGUUAAUCGGAAUUACUGGGCGUAAAAGCGCAUGCAGGCGGCCUGUUAAGUCAGAUGUGAAAGCCCGGGGCGUUAACCUCGGAAAUUGCAUUUGAAACUGGCAGGCUAGAGUCUUGUAGAGGGGGGUAGAAUUUCAGGUGUAGCGGUGAAAUGCGUAGAGAUCUGAAGGAAUACCAGUGG